AUCCGAGAGAGCGCGUCUGAAUGCAGGUGUUCCAAGCCCCGCCCCUCCGCCGCCUGCGCGCUAAGGCUCCUUUGCUAAGUGACACCCCCACCCCCCCAAGUGAGGGCGGAGAAUUUGAGUAUACCCGAAGGACUGACAUGACAGCCCAAGAAAUCCAUCUGAUGUCACAAAGUGAUGGAGACACGAUCCCUCCAUCCACUCUGGAGUCUGUCAGAGGGAAGGAGGAGUCCGACCAUCUCAAUCCCACCACUCGGUCCUCUGCUCUGAUCUUCUCUUCAUCUUCCUCACCACCAGAGUCAUCCUCACACACCGUCCUCUGCCAUCUGGUUGCACUCUGCCCAACCACCUGCAAUGAGAUAACGUCGGAACCAAUGUGUCUUCUCCUCCCUCCGCUCUGUGUUCCUCCCUUUUCCAGAAAAAUAUUUCCAUUCUAGCGAACCACCAUCUGUCCGUCUGCGCUAACACCAAACGUCUCCAUUUCUUGCUCACCAUGUCUGUUUUCUUCACCCACAUGUCUGUUAAAGAACCACUCCGAUGAAAGUGGUCUUUUUGGAUAUAUAUUCAGAAAAUUCAGCUCAAAAUUGCUUUUCUGAUUAUUUCUUUAUUCAAAUCGUUGUGAAUCAGGAGCCGAUGAAAAGAUGCUUUUGGAAAAAGCCUGUGGCGAUGUAAGAACAGUUGGUGGUAUUUUCCAAUAUCGAUAUAAUCAAUUUAUUUUGAAAUUAUUUUAUGACGUAUAGAUCAUUUAACAACUUGUCUCAACAGAUCGAUCUGGUUGAUUUUUAGAAAUACAUAUUGAUUCAUCGAUUGAGUCAAUUAUUCGUUACACCCCUAAGCGAUGAAAAUUGAACAGUUUUGUAUUUUUGAAAAGCUAGCCCCUUAUAUGUUUUAAGAUAGCCAAUCAAACCUAAAACCAUCACACUACCGCCACCAUGCUUGUGGAGUUUUCUUUCUGAAAGAUAGUUUGAGUCCAGAUAAUUCAACAUGACUGAUCAAGAAACUUAAUAACUAGCAGAAACCACAGAAUUUAAAUGAGAAUUUGGUGUGAAAUGUGGAUUGUGCACGGUGAAUCAAUUCAUUGGAGAGCACAGAAAAAAACGCAAGGGCACGAGGAAUGAGUCUGCAGCACCUGAAGUUGGUCUGACGCCUUUCAAGCACCUAGAACACGCCAUUUCUGUGACACAAGCUUUAGGGCAGGACACCUACUGCAAUUCAACCUCCACAGCUGGUCAGCCUGGAUCGGCACCGAUUACAGGAGAGUGCGGGUGGAGGGGAGGCCUUAUAUCCUCAGCUGCUCAAGAGCCGGAGCCUGGAGAGACAGAAGAGAUGGAGCAGACAGAGGGGUGGAGCUGUGAAAUGGCAACUUUAAACAAAGUAGAGCAAAAUGUGUUAAUUAUCCCGAGUGCUUUCACAUCAGCCCGAGUUCUCCUUUGCUGAAUCAGCAUCUUCUCCUUCAACCCUUACUUCAACCAUUUGAGCAUGAAGUUCAGUCUGUUUCCAUCUGCUCUUCAAAAUGCAAAACAGUAAUAUUUUGCUGCAAACAGAGCUUUUAAUCCUGCAUCACAUGCAGAAUAAUGAAUCCCAUCAAGAUCCUAAAUUGAUCUCUGAGCAGCUCCACCUUCCAGUUAUCUAUGGAGUGGUUUUUGUGCCAUCAUUCCAAGUGGAACACUGUGCUUUGAGCAAAAAGUUGAAAAAAUGUGGUGCAAAACAAAACAACUUUACUCUUAAAUCUCAAAUAUGAGCAAUCAGAACCCUUUUCCUCUGAGAGAAAUGUUUUUUCUUCUGACUCAAGCAGAGCGUGGCACCAAAUUACAAAACUAGCCAAUCACAGACAUGAAGGUUGAUGCUGAUAUGUCAGAAAUUAUAAAUGUGCACAAACCUGUUCCAGUCUACAAGCCGAUUGGAAGUAUUUCUGACCAAUCAGUCUCAACCUCAAUGCCCAUGUCUGUGAUUGGCUGUCUCCAGUGCAGAAGAGAGAAUUUCUCUCAAAGGAAAAUUGUUUGGCUUGCACAUAGUUUUGAGUUUCUAGUGCAUUUUUCUGUUUCAAGUACAAAAUAAUUUUUUGAGGACACAAAAUGUUUAAAGUUUGACGCUCAAAGCAGAGUGUUGCCUUUGGAAUAAGGACACAAAAACCACUCCAUAGUGAUCUGCAUGUUCCCCCAUAUUGCAUAUUUCUAGUUGGUUAACAGGCUAACCCUAACACACAUCACUUUUUGCUUGAGCUGUCAAGUUUGCACACGUUUCGACUCACAUUCAGGCCCAGAGUGUAGAAAUUAAGAAAACAUAGUUUAAGGAACUUUCCUGUAGCAUCUCACCAGUCUUACUUGAACAAAGCCGACUUCUUGACAUCUAGAGUAAAAAAAAAAAAAAACGAGAAAAUUAGAGACAGAAGGCCAGACAUCUCUUCGCGUCUGCAUCUCCGUUGGUCCAACAGACCUCUAACACCAAUAAAGAACGGUAAUACUGAAUUAUUCAGGAACAGCAUGGUGAUAUUAAGCUUUGAAGUUUAUUCAGACAACUUUCAGAUGACUUUCUUUCAAGAUGGUCUUUGUCAAAUGUGAUAGUAAUUCCAUUUGUGCAUGAAAACCCUGCUUUCUUUCCACCUCGGUGCACAAACGGCACUUGGCAUCCUGCUUGACUCACGGUGGAAAUCACGAGGUGAAGAUACAGAGCCGACUUGUUUGGAGAAACACACCGAGUCACAAGUUAGGAGAGCAUUAAUUAAAGUGUUAAUAGUUUUCAAACAGACAUAAUCCUGAGCAGGAAUCAGGACGACGCAUUUCCAUGCAGGAAGUGUGCGUCUUUGCCUCUCUGCUCUGGUCUCUUCCAUUCUUAAAUUAUUUCUUAAUCUGGCCUCACACAGGUGCUCCCAUCCAUACAUGAAUUAUAGAUUAAUAAGAGGAAAUAAUAUGAAGACAUUUGCUUCAUUUAAUGUGUAGGAGUGUCCCCCACCAGCCAGAUACAACCUUAUCUCCACAGACUACAAAUCUGUUCUUCAUUUAUAUUCUUACACUUUAAAAAACAUUUUUUUCAAUCAGGAAAAAUUAAUGAGAGUAAAUAAUAAGAUGCUUUUAUUUAAAAAUUGAAUUUUAAUUGUUGUUUAAUUACAAAUGUAGAUAACAUGAUGAAUAAAUGUUUUAUCUUUGAUUUCUGAGAGCAAAAGUCUUUGAAUAAUUCAUGGGUCCUUCUUGGGAUCUAGAAAUUAGGAGCAUUUGGGAUCUCUGGGAGUCAUAACAUGUUUGAAAAGUGUUUCAUUUAUGCGUGAAAGGCUCUGGCGUGUGCUCUGUUUGACGGGGAAAAUUGUCAGCGUGAAGCUUGUUAACAUUCAGAGAAAAUCCUCAAAGCUCCAGCCUAAAUCAAAGCAACCACACUGUGUCGGCCAAAACGCCUUCAAACCCCCCAAGCCGAGAUGAGACUGACAACGAGGAAAAAAAACACAGAGAAGCUUUAGGAGACAUGAUGGAGUCAGUCUAGAUAGCAUGAAGGGAGGAGACCUUCAGAAGAAGACUGCAGGUCGACGCAGAAACAAGUCAGAAGAAAUUCUGACAUCUAAAAUUAUUUUGUCAGUCAAAAAAAUUUAACUGAAGGUGAUAGAAAAUAAAUUUUGGUCUUUGCACCAAAACAAGAUCCUUGUGACUGUGUCAGCUUUUUUAGUCCCCUGUCAUUUCACCAACUGAUGUACAGACUAACAUUACAUCAUCACAGUCAGUCAUUUGAAGUACAUGCCAUGAAAGAGGUCAGAGACCUCCAGAAUUUUCUGUGACCAUUUAUCAUGUGUUGCAUCGAGCAAAGACGUGAAGCAAGUUAAAGGUUUUAUUAAUACCAAAAGCACCAUAAUUUGCGAUAAAAUGAUACCGUAACACCACAGCAAACGUGCAGAAAAAAAAAUCACAAUCAAUGCAUGCCAAUAAUAAAAAAUUAAAAGAUUUGCAAGAGAACUGUGAUGCACAGCAAACUAUGUCAGAUACGACAACAACAUAGAAAUAAUGUCCAGGAGACUUUAGACACAACGACAAAUGUGUGAGAUCUCAAUUCAUUUUUCAUCUUUGAAAAUGCUUGGAAACAGCCAGUAGGGGACUGAAACUGACACCUCAGACGUUCAGGGAAAGUUUCACGACUAGUUAUGUCUGGAGCUAUGUCCUCAUUGAACACAUGUGGCACAUCCAAGAACGCGCUAAACAGGUAUUCUUAAGCCUUUGCCUGAUGUGAACUUAAUG
Molecule: long non-coding RNA, 4214 nt
Filed under: Oryzias sinensis (Chinese medaka)
Lineage: Eukaryota; Metazoa; Chordata; Actinopteri; Beloniformes; Adrianichthyidae
Description: lncRNA (ENSOSIG00000011635.1)
Source: RNAcentral